RNAcentral lists this ribosomal RNA (1645 nucleotides) under Triticum aestivum (bread wheat). RNAcentral's name for it is "partial small subunit ribosomal RNA". Lineage: Eukaryota; Viridiplantae; Streptophyta; Magnoliopsida; Poales; Poaceae. The record is from RNAcentral.
GGGCGAUGUAUUGGUCACUCUUGGGACUUUGGGAUCUUUUAGCGUGCAAGUAGGGUGAAAGGAGAGGUCAGGUGGGUUUCAGGCUGCUCGUUGGUGGGCCGGUACCGCUGGUGGCUGUAGGCGGAGAGGUAGCCCGUGGUCUGGGCGAAGCGGGAGGCGGAUCGGAGGCGGUAGAGGAGCGGGAGGGUGCGGUUCCCGAGGCGACCGUUGCGGCGGAAGAGGGGCGAGAGCGAGGUGCAGCGCGAAUCGGAGCAGCGCCGGCCGCGGCCGCCGCGGUGGGCGCUGGUCGAGCGGCGGCGCGAGCCCAGGCGCCUCUUUCCGCCCAGGCUCCUGGAGGUGCGCGAGCGGCUCGUCCACCAAGUCCAGCACGAGCGGCUGCGCAGCCCGCGGCCGCCGGGCGCCCAGCGGAAGCGGUUGCCGCAGAAGCAGCUGCGCAGCGAGUUCGAGUUCGGAAGGAAGUUCCUAGAGCGGCACCCGUUCAUGUUCCGGCUCUGCGUCAGGCACCUGAAGGUUUGAUUCCGACGACUUCAACGACCAGUCCACUUGAGGACCCAUCUAUUUUAGUGUUGUCCAGAGUAGUUUCUCUAGGAGGGACGUCCCAGACAACUGUUAUGGUGAUCUGACCAAGAACCAUUACGGGAAAUAAAGUUUCCUCGGACCUGACUCUUCAAACUGCGCAGGUUCUGUUUUCUACUCUUCAAGGUGGAGGAACUACCCUCGAGUCAAGUUUGUGGUAAGUACAGGUCAUGUUUCUUCGUUAUGUAAAGCACAAGACUGUCGAACUUCCAUGACUUCGAAGGAAUGGUCGUUCCGCUCCUGUUCUCCGUCAAGAGGUACAUGUAAGAAGAAGGUCUUCGUGUCCUACCAGAGACCUUGAACCGGUUGUUCAACUCGUGGCUUGGUCUCAAGAACCUCUUGGUAUAGGGUUACGUCUUCCAAGGACAGCCCGUCAAGUUCGAAGGCUUCAAGUUCUAUAACAAACCUAAACUUCGCAGACUAUACGAGUUUCCAAACCCAGAGGUCGACGGCAAGUCGCGUCUCCGACUAGAAAGCCUCUACCACCUAAGUAGCCGCCCGAAUAUGCAGAGCAGGCAAAAGGUGUUCAGCAAACAGCUCCACUUGCUUCUUCCGUGGCUCCGACGGCGCCGUUGACGAAGACACCAGUGUGAAUCCAGUGACGGUCAUCUCGGGCACUUCCACCUAAAGCAGCGCCUAGUGGGAAAGGAGAAGGAAUAGGCUCUUCUGGAGUGUCCGCACCACGAUAAGCAGCCAGUACACAAGUUAGGGAACCACAGAGGUACUACACAAACGAGACCUAGCGACGUAACCGUCACUGGAGUUGAUAGUGUACACUCACCUCCCCCAAAGUUGAAAUCUAGUACGACGGACACGUUAUUUAGGCCACCUACAAAAAACAAAAGCUUAUUACCGAACGAACUACAUACCUCCAACACCACUCAAUCACUGUUAUUAGGUCCUAACGACACCUCAAAACACGAAAGUCAACGAGCUACGUACUCUACGGGUACGACCGGUUUACGAAGAAUCGCUUCAUACUCGGUACCAGAAACGUAUUAAACGCUCUUACUAGACCUAAUAAAACAAUUAGACCUAACAAUCUGCUCACCCAAACCAACUAGUCCGC